Molecule: ribosomal RNA, 116 nt
Filed under: Bacillus velezensis
Lineage: Bacteria; Bacillati; Bacillota; Bacilli; Caryophanales; Bacillaceae
Also listed under: 3 other names
Source: RNAcentral
UCUGGUGAUGAUGGCGAAGAGGACACACCCGUUCCCAUGCCGAACACGGAAGUUAAGCUCUUCAGCGCCGAUGGUAGUCGGGGGUUUCCCCCUGUGAGAGUAGGACAUCGCCAGGC